This 2913-nucleotide ribosomal RNA is filed under the name Salmonella enterica subsp. enterica serovar Pullorum. RNAcentral describes it as "23S ribosomal RNA". It matches the Rfam family "Bacterial large subunit ribosomal RNA". Lineage: Bacteria; Pseudomonadati; Pseudomonadota; Gammaproteobacteria; Enterobacterales; Enterobacteriaceae. The record is from RNAcentral.
GGUUAAGCGACUAAGCGUACACGGUGGAUGCCCUGGCAGUCAGAGGCGAUGAAGGGCGUGCUAAUCUGCGAUAAGCGCCGGUAAGGUGAUAUGAACCGUUAUAACCGGCGAUACCCGAAUGGGGAAACCCAGUGUGAUUCGUCACACUAUCAUUAACUGAAUCCAUAGGUUAAUGAGGCGAACCGGGGGAACUGAAACAUCUAAGUACCCCGAGGAAAAGAAAUCAACCGAGAUUCCCCCAGUAGCGGCGAGCGAACGGGGAGGAGCCCAGAGCCUGAAUCAGCAUGUGUGUUAGUGGAAGCGUCUGGAAAGGCGCGCGAUACAGGGUGACAGCCCCGUACACAAAAGCGCAUGUGCUGUGAGCUCGAUGAGUAGGGCGGGACACGUGGUAUCCUGUCUGAAUAUGGGGGGACCAUCCUCCAAGGCUAAAUACUCCUGACUGACCGAUAGUGAACCAGUACCGUGAGGGAAAGGCGAAAAGAACCCCGGCGAGGGGAGUGAAAAAGAACCUGAAACCGUGUACGUACAAGCAGUGGGAGCACAGGUUUACCUGUGUGACUGCGUACCUUUUGUAUAAUGGGUCAGCGACUUAUAUUCUGUAGCAAGGUUAACCGAAUAGGGGAGCCGGAGGGAAACCGAGUCUUAACCGGGCGUUAAGUUGCAGGGUAUAGACCCGAAACCCGGUGAUCUAGCCAUGGGCAGGUUGAAGGUUGGGUAACACUAACUGGAGGACCGAACCGACUAAUGUUGAAAAAUUAGCGGAUGACCUGUGGCUGGGGGUGAAAGGCCAAUCAAACCGGGAGAUAGCUGGUUCUCCCCGAAAGCUAUUUAGGUAGCGCCUCGUGAAUUCAUCUCCGGGGGUAGAGCACUGUUUCGGCUAGGGGGCCAUCCCGGCUUACCAACCCGAUGCAAACUGCGAAUACCGGAGAAUGUUAUCACGGGAGACACACGGCGGGUGCUAACGUCCGUCGUGAAGAGGGAAACAACCCAGACCGCCAGCUAAGGUCCCAAAGUCAUGGUUAAGUGGGAAACGAUGUGGGAAGGCCCAGACAGCCAGGAUGUUGGCUUAGAAGCAGCCAUCAUUUAAAGAAAGCGUAAUAGCUCACUGGUCGAGUCGGCCUGCGCGGAAGAUGUAACGGGGCUAAACCAUGCACCGAAGCUGCGGCAGCGACGGUUUAAGGAUACGUUGUUGGGUAGGGGAGCGUUCUGUAAGCCUGCGAAGGUGGCCUGUGAGGGUUGCUGGAGGUAUCAGAAGUGCGAAUGCUGACAUAAGUAACGAUAAAGCGGGUGAAAAGCCCGCUCGCCGGAAGACCAAGGGUUCCUGUCCAACGUUAAUCGGGGCAGGGUGAGUCGACCCCUAAGGCGAGGCCGAAAGGCGUAGUCGAUGGGAAACGGGUUAAUAUUCCCGUACUUGGUGUUACUGCGAAGGGGGGACGGAGAAGGCUAUGUUGGCCGGGCGACGGUUGUCCCGGUUUAAGCGUGUAGGUGUGUGUUCCAGGUAAAUCCGGUUCACUUUAACACUGAGGCGUGAUGACGAGGCACUACGGUGCUGAAGUAACAAAUGCCCUGCUUCCAGGAAAAGCCUCUAAGCAUCAGGUAACAUCAAAUCGUACCCCAAACCGACACAGGUGGUCAGGUAGAGAAUACCAAGGCGCUUGAGAGAACUCGGGUGAAGGAACUAGGCAAAAUGGUGCCGUAACUUCGGGAGAAGGCACGCUGACACGUAGGUGAAGUGAUUUACUCACGGAGCUGAAGUCAGUCGAAGAUACCAGCUGGCUGCAACUGUUUAUUAAAAACACAGCACUGUGCAAACACGAAAGUGGACGUAUACGGUGUGACGCCUGCCCGGUGCCGGAAGGUUAAUUGAUGGGGUCAGCGCAAGCGAAGCUCCUGAUCGAAGCCCCGGUAAACGGCGGCCGUAACUAUAACGGUCCUAAGGUAGCGAAAUUCCUUGUCGGGUAAGUUCCGACCUGCACGAAUGGCGUAAUGAUGGCCAGGCUGUCUCCACCCGAGACUCAGUGAAAUUGAACUCGCUGUGAAGAUGCAGUGUACCCGCGGCAAGACGGAAAGACCCCGUGAACCUUUACUAUAGCUUGACACUGAACAUUGAGCCUUGAUGUGUAGGAUAGGUGGGAGGCUUUGAAGUGUGGACGCCAGUCUGCAUGGAGCCGACCUUGAAAUACCACCCUUUAAUGUUUGAUGUUCUAACGUGGACCCGUUACCCGGGUUGCGGACAGUGUCUGGUGGGUAGUUUGACUGGGGCGGUCUCCUCCUAAAGAGUAACGGAGGAGCACGAAGGUUGGCUAAUCCUGGUCGGACAUCAGGAGGUUAGUGCAAUGGCAUAAGCCAGCUUGACUGCGAGCGUGACGGCGCGAGCAGGUGCGAAAGCAGGUCAUAGUGAUCCGGUGGUUCUGAAUGGAAGGGCCAUCGCUCAACGGAUAAAAGGUACUCCGGGGAUAACAGGCUGAUACCGCCCAAGAGUUCAUAUCGACGGCGGUGUUUGGCACCUCGAUGUCGGCUCAUCACAUCCUGGGGCUGAAGCAGGUCCCAAGGGUAUGGCUGUUCGCCAUUUAAAGUGGUACGCGAGCUGGGUUUAGAACGUCGUGAGACAGUUCGGUCCCUAUCUGCCGUGGGCGCUGGAGAACUGAGGGGGGCUGCUCCUAGUACGAGAGGACCGGAGUGGACGCAUCACUGGUGUUCGGGUUGUCAUGCCAAUGGCACUGCCCGGUAGCUAAAUGCGGAAGAGAUAAGUGCUGAAAGCAUCUAAGCACGAAACUUGCCCCGAGAUGAGUUCUCCCUGAGACUUAGAGUCUCCUGAAGGAACGUUGAAGACGACGACGUUGAUAGGCCGGGUGUGUAAGCGCAGCGAUGCGUUGAGCUAACCGGUACUAAUGAACCGUGAGGCUUAACCUU